AGAGAAGGGAGAAAAAACCACAGUUGCACGGGCUCAGAAACAAAAAGAGAGUGAAAGUUUGAUUCUCUCAGUGAAAGACUUAACAUAAAAUUUAAUGGAGACACAUAUCAAUAAUGCAAAAUGAAAUGAUAAAUAACAAGAAUUUUUAAUGCAAAAUCAAAUUAUAAAUAAUAAAGAAUUUUUUCCAACAAAUUUAUCUAGAAGCAGAGACUCACCACCUUGCAAUCAAGUACAGGCACACCAUUCUGAUAUUUGUGAACAAGUUGACCUUAAUUUAAAGUUUUUCUUCUUCUUUUCAAGGAAGGUGGGUGGGGAUCUAGGAAAAGGAAUGAUUAAUUCAACAUGCAGAAAUUGGAUAUCUUAC
RNAcentral lists this unclassified non-coding RNA (364 nucleotides) under Hevea brasiliensis (rubber tree). The record is from RNAcentral. Lineage: Eukaryota; Viridiplantae; Streptophyta; Magnoliopsida; Malpighiales; Euphorbiaceae.